UUAGUGGAAGAAUAAAAUUUUUCUUUUCUCCUCAUUAGCAAUCUUUAGUAUUCAUUCCUCCAUUAUUCCUUAAUUCAUUCCCUUCUUUAAGCACAGUUGCAGGAAACAGGUUUCCUGCUCAUAAGCUUGCCUUGAGUCACUGCAACACUACAAUCUGUGUGUGUGUGAUGCUUCUUGCCGCGACAACAUCUUCAACGAUUGAUAAUCUUGUGGAUACAGUGAAACUCUCAUCUUGAAAAUGAUUUCUUGGUAAAAACGAUCUAAUAGCCCCCGCUCUUUCUACAAGUUGGAGGUUCAACCUCUCUUGUGCUGGUCCAAUAAAGCGGGAUGAGGAUGUUUUGUGGAUGUUGAGUGGUAUCUCUUGGGGUGUUCGCUCUUAGUUGGCUUUUCCCACCACCACUUGGUGUAUAUGGCGUGCGCGUAACAAUGUGGUUUUUAGAGGAGAAGCUAUAUUAAUUGGAAAGCCUUAGAAGACAAGAUUAUUUAUAUUUCAUGGUUUUGGUUUAUAGGUAAAAUAGCUAGUAAGUCUUCUUGUGUUUUUUCAUAUUGGUGUAAGGAUCCA
RNAcentral lists this long non-coding RNA (562 nucleotides) under Trifolium pratense (red clover). Its description in RNAcentral is "long non-coding RNA (TPRA_LNC012804)". The record is from RNAcentral. Lineage: Eukaryota; Viridiplantae; Streptophyta; Magnoliopsida; Fabales; Fabaceae.